Long non-coding RNA from Gasterosteus aculeatus aculeatus (three-spined stickleback), 395 nucleotides. Lineage: Eukaryota; Metazoa; Chordata; Actinopteri; Perciformes; Gasterosteidae. The record is from Ensembl.
CUGCGACAUGCGCGCAGAUCAUCUUCUGGGAUGUUGGACUUGGAUUUGGUGCACUUGGCUGCGUCGCUCUAUGUAGGACACGCUACAUAAGAGUCCUCCCACGUCCAACGAGACGACUUAAAACACGCGAGAAACCAAGAGGAGGGCCCGGUGACCGACUUCCGGUCUUGUCCAUACUGACUAUGUUGAACUUGAUGUUUCCCAAACCGGCCAUCGCAGACAAAUCUAUCACAGGAACCUGGAGCAACCCGCUGUGAUCUGCUGGACGUGGCGGUGUUUCUGCAGCGUCGGUGGACGUGAUGUGGCACGCGUCACAGGGGAAGGACAAUGUUUCUACCCACUGACCAGCAGGGGGCGACUCCUCCGGUUCCAUAGACGUCUAUGAGAAAAGGACU